AAAUAAAACAAAAAAACGUAAAAGAAAAGGUGCGCUACAAUUUGCUAAUAGCUGGCGUAGCACCGUAAUCACCUUGUGGGCGUUCGCGGCCGGUGCUGACCUGGGAGUUCCUGGUGGAGUGAGGAGUACUGGGAGCAUGAUGUCCGGAGCGACUAAGAAGCGCUACAGCGCUCGAUUAGUCCUUCCUUCCAGCAGAUGUUUUUGAGCACCUGUCAGCGCCAAGGUCUUACGUGGUGGAGCAUCCAGGUUUAAUUUCCCUGGGAAGGAAAAGAACUCAGAGUCCCAUAGAGAAAAUUCUUCAGCUAUAAGGAAGUCAGAAAGAUGGAUUUCCAAAACCAAACGUCUCCUGUAGCAUGUGGAUCUCUGCAAGCAGAGUCU
This is a long non-coding RNA of Phyllostomus discolor (pale spear-nosed bat), 378 nucleotides long. RefSeq lists it as uncharacterized. The record is from RefSeq and is a predicted model, not a curated record. The transcript has 2 exons. NCBI's taxonomy places the organism in Eukaryota, Metazoa, Chordata, Mammalia, Chiroptera, Phyllostomidae.